GCACCGAAUUUAUCCAAAUUUUUUUAAAAUUUUCAUAGCUUUUAAGGUACACAUUGUGCACCCUUUUCUAGUGAUCCAUGCACGAAAAUAUGGAGAAGGUGCUCAAGAGUUGGGCGCCCCUUAACUUGCCAUGUUUGGAUAAGCCUUGACUAGGUAUUUGACCUAGACAAGGACUCUAUCAUAUCUCUCUGUAUAAAACGAGUUUCUUCAUGAAAUUUUCGAAGAAGACAGAAAUUUGAGAGACCUUUGUGCCAUCCAAAAAUCAGAGAGAAAGACCAUUGGGUCGUAGAGAUAUAAAAGAUGCAAGUUAGGGUGUCUAGAGAGAAAAACGUGAAGAAGAAGAGGGUCUUCUUCUAGGGUUAUUUGUUUUCAUAUCUUUCCUCCUUCCAUCUUGAGUUUCCUGAGAGUGUCUUAGAUCUGAAACUCCUCCUUUUACUUUCCAUCUUUGGAAGAGUCCAAAUCAAGAAGAAGGAGGCACCUAAUCAACCAUCAAAGAAGGAUCAGCGCAGUACUAGCAUACUGUGCUGAUUUCCUGAAGCAGGACUUCUAAUCGAGAUUCGUGGGCUCGUGUGGAUGACUCCUAGAGGCCGAACGCAUGUGCGGCUUGCAACAUCAUCCUUAAGCCCAGAUCAGUGAGGUUAGAGCAUCUAACUUGCAAGGUAAUAGAUCUGAUCUAUUGUUUAAUACAUAC
Molecule: long non-coding RNA, 691 nt
Filed under: Elaeis guineensis (African oil palm)
Lineage: Eukaryota; Viridiplantae; Streptophyta; Magnoliopsida; Arecales; Arecaceae
Description: long non-coding RNA (EGUI_LNC081624)
Source: RNAcentral